CCGUAAGUAGUGGCGAGCGAACACGGAAGAGCCUGCACGACUAAACCAUCAGCUUAGCAAAACGGUCUGGAAAGUCCGACGAUACAGGGUGAUAGUCCCGUAUGCGAAAAGCCGGUGGCGGGUCUGAGCGUGCGACAAGUAGGGCGGGACACGAGAAAUCCUGUCUGAAGAUGGGGGGACCAUCCUCCAAGGCUAAAAUACUCGUGAUCGACCGAUAGUGAACCAGUACCGUGAGGGAAAGGCGAAAAGAACCCCGGGAGGGGAGUGAAAUAGAUCCUGAAACCGCAUGCAUACAAACAGUGGGAGCCUCGAAAGGGGUGACUGCGUACCUUUUGUAUAAUGGGUCAGCGACUACGUUCAGUUGCGAGCUUAACCGAAUAGGGGAGCGUAGCGAAAGCGAGUCUGAUAAGGGCGUCAGAGUAGCUGGGCGUAGACCGAAACCGGAUGAUCUAUCCAUGGCCAGGAUGAAGGUGCGUAACAGGUACUGGAGGUCC
RNAcentral lists this ribosomal RNA (494 nucleotides) under uncultured bacterium. Its description in RNAcentral is "bacterial LSU rRNA". It matches the Rfam family "Bacterial large subunit ribosomal RNA", at positions 237 to 775 of the family's 2925-position model. The record is from RNAcentral.